RNAcentral lists this ribosomal RNA (221 nucleotides) under uncultured bacterium. RNAcentral's name for it is "partial 16S ribosomal RNA". It matches the Rfam family "Bacterial small subunit ribosomal RNA", at positions 122 to 334 of the family's 1533-position model. The record is from RNAcentral.
UAAACCUGCCCUCAUGAGGGGGGAGUAACUAUUAGAAAUGAUAGCUAAGACCGCAUAGGUGAAGGGGUCGGCAUGACCGCUUCAUUAGAUAUCCGUAUGGAUAGCAGGAGGAUGGACUUAUGGCGCAUUAGCUGGUUGGUGAGGUAACGGCUCACCAAGGCGACGAUGCGUAGCCGACCUGAGAGGGUGGACGGCCACACUGGGACUGAGACACGGCCCAG